RNAcentral lists this ribosomal RNA (257 nucleotides) under uncultured bacterium. Its description in RNAcentral is "partial 16S ribosomal RNA". It matches the Rfam family "Bacterial small subunit ribosomal RNA", at positions 524 to 776 of the family's 1533-position model. The record is from RNAcentral.
UACGUAGGGUGCGAGCGUUGUCCGGAAUUAUUGGGCGUAAAGAGCUCGUAGGCGGUGUGUCACGUCGGCCGUGAAAACCUGCAGCUUAACUGUGGGCGUGCGGUCGAUACGGGCAUCACUGGAGUUCGGCAGGGGAGACUGGAAUUCCUGGUGUAGCGGUGAAAUGCGCAGAUAUCAGGAGGAACACCGAUGGGCGAAGGCAGGUCUCUGGGCCGUAACUGACGCUGGAGGAGCGGAAAGCGUGGGGAGCGAACAGG